This 179-nucleotide ribosomal RNA is filed under the name uncultured bacterium. RNAcentral describes it as "partial 16S ribosomal RNA". It matches the Rfam family "Bacterial small subunit ribosomal RNA", at positions 337 to 508 of the family's 1533-position model. The record is from RNAcentral.
UCCUACGGGAGGCAGCAGUGGGGAAUUUUGGACAAUGGGGGCAACCCUGAUCCAGCCAUUCCGCGUGAGUGAAGAAGGCCUUCGGGUUGUAAAGCUCUUUUGUCCGGAGCGAAACGGGCGGCCCUAAUACGGUCGUCUACUGACGGUACCGGAAGAAUAAGCACCGGCUAACUACGUGC